UACAGAGGGUGCGAGCGUUAAUCGGAAUUACUGGGCGUAAAGCGCGCGUAGGCGGUUUUGUAAGUCGGGUGUGAAAUCCCCAGGCUCAACCUGGGAACUGCAUUCGAGACUGCAUAGCUAGAGUAUGGGAGAGGGAAGUGGAAUUUCAGGUGUAGCGGUGAAAUGCGUAGAUAUCGGGAGGAACACCAGUGGCGAAGGCGGCUGCCUGGGCCAGUUCUGACGCUGAGGCGCGAAAGCGUGGGGAGCAAACAGG
This 253-nucleotide ribosomal RNA is filed under the name uncultured bacterium. RNAcentral describes it as "partial 16S ribosomal RNA". It matches the Rfam family "Bacterial small subunit ribosomal RNA", at positions 524 to 776 of the family's 1533-position model. The record is from RNAcentral.